Molecule: transfer-messenger RNA, 365 nt
Filed under: Longimicrobiales
Lineage: Bacteria; Pseudomonadati; Gemmatimonadota; Longimicrobiia
Also listed under: 1 other name
Description: SLBA01 sp007692605 Standard tmRNA
Rfam family: transfer-messenger RNA
About the family: Bacterial tmRNA, also known as 10Sa RNA or SsrA, is named for its dual tRNA and mRNA-like properties.
Source: RNAcentral
GGGGGCGUCACGGUUUCGACGUGGAUAGUGAAACCAGAGUUGCGUGCCGAGGGUUUUCGGGUCCUCGUAAAUCCUCCGAAAAAACCACAAACGCCAACGAUAACCUGGCGCUGGCUGCGUAAGGGUCAAACCUUAGCCGCAGUCCGUUUCCUGAGGAGCCCGCCUAAGGCGACUCUUGAGACGACGAAAAGUUAGGCUGGCUGCCCGGUGAUGCCGUCGCAUCGGGGGCGAGAACUCAAUGACGGAUAGCCCGGGUAGGCUGUUCCCUUGCCGGACCCGGUUGCGAACAUGAAAGGGCUCUACGCACGUAGAGACUCUGUCGGAUCAAUUCGCGGACGCGGGUUCGACUCCCGCCGCCUCCACUU